ACUGAAUGCACGGUUGGGGGAAAUGAUUACAUACUGGAACAUGAAUUGGGAGAUUUCCUUGGUCAUGGAAUCCCAGACUUGAAUGCUGAUGAGGUCCAUGGGUUGUUCAAUUUAUUUGAUUC
Juglans regia (Persian walnut) is the source of this 122-nucleotide long non-coding RNA. RefSeq lists it as uncharacterized. Lineage: Eukaryota; Viridiplantae; Streptophyta; Magnoliopsida; Fagales; Juglandaceae. The transcript is spliced from 3 exons. The record is from RefSeq and is a predicted model, not a curated record.